UGGGGAAUAUUGGACAAUGGGCGAAAGCCUGAUCCAGCCAUGCCGCGUGUGUGAAGAAGGUCUUCGGAUUGUAAAGCACUUUAAGUUGGGAGGAAGGGCAUUAACCUAAUACGUUAGAGUUUUGACGUUACCGACAGAAUAAGCACCGGCUAACUCUGUGCCAGCAGCCGCGGUAAUACAGAGGGUGCAAGCGUUAAUCGGAAUUACUGGGCGUAAAGCGCGCGUAGGUGGUUUGUUAAGUUGGAUGUGAAAGCCCCGGGCUCAACCUGGGAACUGCAUCCAAAACUGGCAAGCUAGAGUACGGUAGAGGGUGGUGGAAUUUCCUGUGUAGCGGUGAAAUGCGUAGAUAUAGGAAGGAACACCAGUGGCGAAGGCGACCACCUGGACUGAUACUGACACUGAGGUGCGAAAGCGUGGGGAGCAAACA
This 427-nucleotide ribosomal RNA is filed under the name uncultured bacterium. RNAcentral describes it as "partial 16S ribosomal RNA". It matches the Rfam family "Bacterial small subunit ribosomal RNA", at positions 355 to 774 of the family's 1533-position model. The record is from RNAcentral.